AGAAAGUGCGCGACAGAGACCAUCCUCCUUGGUAUGGCAGGGCCCUUACCCUCCCCAUACCCCCAGAAGGCAAAUGUCCCCAUCUCGAGAGAGGGGGCUUUCGACAGCCAUCUGCUUCCACAGCUCCACCUCCACACAAAGUGAGGCUUGACCAGCCUUGUGGGGUCAUUUGGGUGGAUGGAGCCAAGGAUGCGGAGCCCACAGACCCCACGCUGCUGGGAAGGCACCGACCCCUGACCCUGUGAGUCACCCUAGCUUGGCUGACCCUGGCUUGGCCUUGGCAGGGCUGCAUGCCACCUCAGCUCCCACCCAGAGCUUUCCCAGGCUGGAUAAACCAGGGCAGAGAGGGGAGAAAAGCGUCCUCAGCCUGGGAACCACUGGGGCUCCGGUCGCCCAGGGCAGCUGUCAGCUGGCCAGGCCCUGCCCUUCUUAGGACCCACGUCAGCUGCCCCCUGGCUUGUCGGGUCCGCUGCCACCCAGAGCCCCUUUGGAUAAGAAGCCCUUUCACACCUGUCCAGGGGCCACGACAGCAAAGGGUAUAUACUUGAAGAAAUUGAAAACAGGUACUCAAACCAAUGGAUUUCCCAGGUGGCUCCGUGGUAAGGAAUCUGCCUGCCAGUGCAGUGGAAUUCCAUCCUGGGUCAGGAAGAUCCCCUGGAAGAGGAAAUGACAAUCCACUCCAGUAUUCUUCUCUGGAGAAUCCCACGGACAGGGCAGCCUGGAGGGCUGCAGUCCACGGGAUUACACAGUCAGACACAACUGAGCACGAACAACUCAGUCCACUAUUCAAACAAACACAUGCGUGCGUGUGCAUUAAGUUGCUUCAGUCGUGUCCAACUCUGCAACCCUAUGGACUGUAGCCUGCCAGGCUCCUCUAUGGAAUUCUCCAGGCCAAAAUACUGGAGUGGGUUGCCAAGCCCUCCUCCAGGGGGUCUUCCUGACCCGGGGAUUAAAACUGUGUCUCUUACAUCUCCUGCAUUGGCAGAUGCCCUAUCUCCGGCCAGUUACCAAGACAUGCCAACCACACCUGCUCCCACUCAUCCCUUCCCUUGCCCACCAGUGUCUCGGAGAGUCUACAGCAAUGAAACCCACCCAGAAGUCCUGCUCCAAUUGGUUUUCAUGACCAUGUGAUUGACCCUGAAUUGAAACACGAUAAUGGAAUGCUUCUAAAUACACAUUCUUCUUGGAAAAUGUAUGAAGUUUUUUUCUUAAUUUUUUUAAUGGAAUCAGAGGACUUGGUUCUUGGACAGACUGUUGGUGUGAG
Long non-coding RNA from Bos taurus (domestic cattle), 1264 nucleotides. Lineage: Eukaryota; Metazoa; Chordata; Mammalia; Artiodactyla; Bovidae. The record is from Ensembl.